Molecule: non-coding RNA, 25 nt
Filed under: Mus musculus (house mouse)
Lineage: Eukaryota; Metazoa; Chordata; Mammalia; Rodentia; Muridae
Also listed under: 1 other name
Source: RNAcentral
UGCAAGGUUACUUUUUAGGGUGUGU